This 484-nucleotide ribosomal RNA is filed under the name uncultured bacterium. RNAcentral describes it as "partial 16S ribosomal RNA". It matches the Rfam family "Bacterial small subunit ribosomal RNA", at positions 28 to 507 of the family's 1533-position model. The record is from RNAcentral.
AUUGAACGCUGGCGGCAUGCUUUACACAUGCAAGUCGAACGGCAGCGCGGGCUUCGGCCUGGCGGCGAGUGGCGAACGGGUGAGUAAUGCAUCGGAACGUGCCCAGUAGUGGGGGAUAGCCCGGCGAAAGCCGGAUUAAUACCGCAUACGACCUGCGGGUGAAAGCGGGGGACCGAAAGGCCUCGCGCUAUUGGAGCGGCCGGUGUCGGAGUAGCUCGUUGGUGGGGUAAAGGCCUACCAAGGCGACGAUCCGUAGCUGGUCUGAGAGGAGGACCAGCCACACUGGGACUGAGACACGGCCCAGACUCCUACGGGAGGAAGCAGUGGGGAAUUUUGGGCAAUGGGGGCAAGCGUGAUCCAGCCAUGCCGCGGGCGGGAUGAAGGCGUUCGGGUUGUAAACCGCUGUUGGUCGGGAAGAAAUCCUGUGGGCUAGUACCCCGGGGUGAUGACGGUACCGGAAGAAUAAGCACCGGCUAACUACGUG